This 247-nucleotide ribosomal RNA is filed under the name uncultured bacterium. RNAcentral's name for it is "partial 16S ribosomal RNA". It matches the Rfam family "Bacterial small subunit ribosomal RNA", at positions 523 to 769 of the family's 1533-position model. The record is from RNAcentral.
AUACGUAGGGUGCAAGCGCUAAUCGGAAUUACUGGGCGUAAAGCGUGCGCAGGCGGUUUUGUAAGACAGAGGUGAAAUCCCCGGGCUCAACCUGGGAACUGCCUUUGUGACUGCAAGGCUAGAGUACGGCAGAGGGGGAUGGAAUUCCGCGUGUAGCAGUGAAAUGCGUAGAUAUGCGGAGGAACACCGAUGGCGAAGGCAAUCCCCUGGGCCUGUACUGACGCUCAUGCACGAAAGCGUGGGGAGC